GACGAACGCUGGCGGCGUGCCUAAUACAUGCAAGUCGAGCGGACCAAAGGGAGCUUGCUCCUGGAGGUCAGCGGCGAACGGGUGAGUAACACGUGGGCAACCUGCCUGUAAGACUGGGAUAACAUCGAGAAAUCGGUGCUAAUACCGGAUAAUAAAAAGAACUGCAUGGUUCUUUUUUGAAAGAUGGUUUCGGCUAUCACUUACAGAUGGGCCCGCGGCGCAUUAGCUAGUUGGUGAGGUAACGGCUCACCAAGGCAACGAUGCGUAGCCGACCUGAGAGGGUGAUCGGCCACACUGGGACUGAGACACGGCCCAGACUCCUACGGGAGGCAGCAGUAGGGAAUCUUCCGCAAUGGACGAAAGUCUGACGGAGCAACGCCGCGUGAGCGAUGAAGGUUUUCGGAUCGUAAAACUCUGUUGUUAGGGAAGAACAAGUGCCGUUCGAAAGGGCGGCACCUUGACGGUACCUAACGAGAAAGCCACGGCUAACUACGUGCCAGCAGCCGCGGUAAAG
Molecule: ribosomal RNA, 514 nt
Filed under: uncultured bacterium
Lineage: Bacteria
Description: bacterial SSU rRNA
Rfam family: Bacterial small subunit ribosomal RNA
Source: RNAcentral